UCCCUGGUGGCUAAAGACGGUAAAGAAUCCGCCUGCAAUGUGGGAGACCUAGGUUCAAUCCCUGGUUUGGGAA
This 73-nucleotide transfer RNA is filed under the name Bos taurus (domestic cattle). It matches the Rfam family "tRNA". Rfam says of the family: Transfer RNA (tRNA) molecules are approximately 80 nucleotides in length. Their secondary structure includes four short double-helical elements and three loops (D, anti-codon, and T loops). The record is from Rfam by way of RNAcentral. Lineage: Eukaryota; Metazoa; Chordata; Mammalia; Artiodactyla; Bovidae. RNAcentral also lists the same sequence under 4 other names.